RNAcentral lists this ribosomal RNA (274 nucleotides) under uncultured bacterium. RNAcentral describes it as "partial 16S ribosomal RNA". It matches the Rfam family "Bacterial small subunit ribosomal RNA", at positions 523 to 796 of the family's 1533-position model. The record is from RNAcentral.
AUACGGAGGGGGCUAGCGUUGUUCGGAUUUACUGGGCGUAAAGCGCACGUAGGUGGAUCAAUCAGUUGAGGGUGAAAUCCCAGGGCUCAACCCUGGAACUGCCUUCAAUACUGUUGAUCUUGAGUCCGAGAGAGGUGAGUGGAAUUCCUAGUGUAGAGGUGAAAUUCGUAGAUAUUAGGAAGAACACCAGUGGCGAAGGCGGCUCACUGGCUCGGUACUGACGCUGAGGUGCGAAAGCAUGGGGAGCAAACAGGAUUAGAAACCCCGGUAGUCC